CGCGCCCGUCCCGCCGCCCCCGCCCGAUUAGAUACCCGGGUAGUCCCAGCCGUAAACGAUGCUCGCUAGGUGUCUGGGAUGGUGCGACCGUUUCAGGUGCCGCAGGGAAGCCGUGAAGCGAGCCACCUGGGAAGUACGGCCGCAAGGCUGAAACUUAAAGGAAUUGGCGGGGGAGCACUACAACGGGUGGAGCCUGCGGUUUAAUUGGACUCAACGCCGGAAAACU
Molecule: ribosomal RNA, 226 nt
Filed under: uncultured archaeon
Lineage: Archaea
Description: partial 16S ribosomal RNA
Rfam family: Archaeal small subunit ribosomal RNA
Source: RNAcentral